Molecule: long non-coding RNA, 833 nt
Organism: Amphimedon queenslandica
Lineage: Eukaryota; Metazoa; Porifera; Demospongiae; Haplosclerida; Niphatidae
Exons: 3
Source: RefSeq, a predicted model, not a curated record
GUAGUUCCUUUUUGGGUUAUACUGAGGAAAGGGUACUACCUCAUUAAAAUUCAUAAUGAUGCAUGGCCAGUGGUCAUGCACUGCUGGUUCAACAGUGACAUGUGCCGGUAGGUGUUGUCACAAAAUGGUCGACAAAAUUUUAUUUUUAUGAAAACAGCAACAGCUAGAAACUAGAGAAUGCAAGCGAUAAAAAGCAGAGGGAGCAAGAGAUAGGACCCUGAAAACCAAUUACUUGUGUGUCAAAACAGCUGGAAAAUUUUGUAGGUACGAUCAGUGGGUACUGUUCUACUAUACAAGAAAUGAUAUUGUUCAAUGCAUUUUGGUGGGGACUGUCCAAUUUCAUUCUCACAAAUUCAGGCAGACUAGAUAUGCUCCUGUGACCGGGUCAACAAAAUGUUAGUAGUGGUGGACAGUACGAUGGGUAUAGUUCCAUCUGAGUAACCUAUCAAGGCCAUUUCUGUUCCUUCAAGUACCCAAUGACCUUCAACUAAACGACUCCUAUUGUACGUCCUUGGUCCAAACUUUGAUUCAUCGAUCUCAGCAUCUAUACCAGGGCCACCAAUUUCAACAGGAUGAUCAAUGAAUUAUUGAGCCUAAACGUCACGUAUGAAAUUGUACCAGUUGAUACCCGUUUUUUCACUGAUCUGAAAUGUGACAUUCUGAUGUAACUGCUUAAAACGACAUCAAAUUUCCUGAACUUCCUUGAUCAGAUCUAACAAUGAUGUCUUUGUCGACCAUAGAUCAAUUAUUCUUAUGAUAGUAUAGAGUGAUAGAAAUGAAGUGCAGAUAUUUGCAAACUGCGUGUGUGUAAUAUUUACUGCAAGUUAAUUUGU